AUUGAACGCUGGCGGCAUGCCUUACACAUGCAAGUCGAACGGUAACAGGUCUUCGGAUGCUGACGAGUGGCGAACGGGUGAGUAAUACAUCGGAACGUGCCCAAUCGUGGGGGAUAGCUCGGCGAAAGCCGAAUUAAUACCGCAUACGAUCUACGGAUGAAAGCAGGGGACCGCAAGGCCUUGCGCGAAUGGAGCGGCCGAUGGCAGAUUAGGUAGUUGGUGGGGUAAAGGCUCACCAAGCCGACGAUCUGUAGCUGGUCUGAGAGGACGACCAGCCACACUGGGACUGAGACACGGCCCAGACUCCUACGGGAGGCAGCAGUGGGGAAUUUUGGACAAUGGGCGCAAGCCUGAUCCAGCCAUGCCGCGUGCAGGAUGAAGGCCUUCGGGUUGUAAACUGCUUUUGUACGGAACGAAAAGGUUCUCUCUAAUAAAGAGGGCUCAUGACGGUACCGUAAGAAUAAGCACCGGCUAACUACGUGCCAGCAGCCGCGGUAAUACGU
RNAcentral lists this ribosomal RNA (503 nucleotides) under uncultured Pseudomonadota bacterium. RNAcentral's name for it is "bacterial SSU rRNA". It matches the Rfam family "Bacterial small subunit ribosomal RNA", at positions 30 to 528 of the family's 1533-position model. Lineage: Bacteria; Pseudomonadati; Pseudomonadota. The record is from RNAcentral.